Molecule: non-coding RNA, 98 nt
Organism: Acanthosepion pharaonis
Lineage: Eukaryota; Metazoa; Mollusca; Cephalopoda; Sepiida; Sepiidae
Source: the annotation of a GenBank genome assembly
AUGAAACACCUGUUCUAAUAAGGUCUACGAAGUUAAGCAAAGUCGAGCCUGGUCAGUACUUAGAUGAGGGACCGCUUGGGGAUAUCACGUGCUGUAAG